AGUCAACCUACCCUAUGGACGGGAAUAAUCUCGGAAAACUGAGGAUAAUUCCAGAUAGAACACUAUGCCUGGAACGGUUUGUGUUCCAAAUGAUUUAUCGCCGUAGGAUGGGACUGCGUCCUAUCAGUUUGUUGGUGAGGUAAUGGCCCACCAAGACUAUUACAGGUACGGGCUCUGAGAGGAGUAGCCCGGAGAUGGGUACUGAGACACGGACCCAGGCCCUAUGGGGCGCAGCAGGCGAGAAAACUUUGCAAUGUGCGAAAGCACGACAAGGUUAAUCCGAGUGGUUCCUGCUAAAGGAACCUUUUGACGGUCCUAAAAGCACCGUUGAAUAAGGGGUGGGCAAGUUCUGGUGUCAGCCGCCGCGGUAAAACCAGCACCUCAAGUGGUCAGGAUGAUUAUUGGGCCUAAAGCAUCCGUAGCCGGCUCUGUGAGUUUUCGGUUAAAUCUGUGCGCUCAACGUACAGGCUGCCGGGAAUACUGCAGAGCUAGGGAGUGGGAGAGGUAGACGGUACUUGGUAGGAAGGGGUAAAAUCCUUUGAUCUAUUGAUGACCACCUGUGGCGAAGGCGGUCUACCAGAACACGUCCGACGGUGAGGGAUGAAAGCUGGGGGAGCAAACCGGAUUAGAUACCCGGGUAGUCCCAGCUGUAAACCAUGCAAACUCAAUGAUGCAUUGCUUGAAGCCAAUGCAGUGUU
RNAcentral lists this ribosomal RNA (698 nucleotides) under uncultured marine archaeon. RNAcentral describes it as "bacterial SSU rRNA". It matches the Rfam family "Archaeal small subunit ribosomal RNA", at positions 102 to 802 of the family's 1478-position model. The record is from RNAcentral.